Molecule: long non-coding RNA, 314 nt
Filed under: Homo sapiens (human)
Lineage: Eukaryota; Metazoa; Chordata; Mammalia; Primates; Hominidae
Description: HSALNT0169334
Source: RNAcentral
GCAAGGUGUAUCUACUUUCUCAUUCUUGGUUAAUUGUGAAGUAAGUGCAGUGUCAGGAUAGCGCAGGAUUGACCUGGAUGAUAGUAUUUUCAACACUUCGGAGAAAGCUGAAAGUUGUCGAUAGGGAUUGUUGUAUUUGCUGGCUUUCCCUUCACUUGUAUUAUGUUGUUUUUUCCACGCUUUUCCUAUGGACAAAGACUGUGGGACUCAUCUGCUCACUUAGGAAGUGAUAUGUGUUUCCAAUUUAGUGGGUUUAGCUGAUGUGUUUGUUGUAUGUAGUGUAAUCUCAGUGGUGGUAAGGCAUGGGCAGGCAA